CUAUCAUUGUGAAUGUAUUUUACAAAGUCUGCCAUGGUACAGAACGGUUCAUGGCUUGAUUUUAAAGCUUCUGAAACGUAGACCGCACUGGCACUCUUGACGAUCGUCCCAUCCAGGAACUUCAGUACUGUGGAGAUAUCCAUCUUGGCAUAUACAAGAUCUUUGACGUCAUUUGCAAUGUGGACACGCUAACGCUGAUCUGAAGAGACAUCAAGUGUUGAGAUUGUGACUAAUUCAGCAGACCCUGAAGUCAGUGAGAGAUCCUCUGCAUCCUAUGAACAGACAUCAAGUGUUGAGAUUGUGACUAAUUCAACAGACCCUGAAGUCAGUGAGAGAGCCACUGCAACCUAUGAACAGAUAUCGGAUCAUGAUUCCUCCGAUCAUUCGGAUUAUGAAGAUAUCGACAAGGACAUCUUUAUGGGUAUAGCUUCAACACACAGUGGAGAGAUUGCAGGUUG
Solea solea (common sole) is the source of this 458-nucleotide long non-coding RNA. RefSeq lists it as uncharacterized. NCBI's taxonomy places the organism in Eukaryota, Metazoa, Chordata, Actinopteri, Pleuronectiformes, Soleidae. The record is from RefSeq and is a predicted model, not a curated record. The transcript has 4 exons.